CGGGGUGUAGCUCAGGCUGGUAGAGCACCGUCUUCGGGAGGCGGGGGCCGUUGGUUCGAAUCCAAUCACCCCGACCA
This 77-nucleotide transfer RNA is filed under the name Magnetococcales bacterium. RNAcentral describes it as "tRNA-Pro". It matches the Rfam family "tRNA". From Rfam's summary of the family: Transfer RNA (tRNA) molecules are approximately 80 nucleotides in length. Their secondary structure includes four short double-helical elements and three loops (D, anti-codon, and T loops). The record is from RNAcentral. Lineage: Bacteria; Pseudomonadati; Pseudomonadota; Magnetococcia; Magnetococcales.